Molecule: long non-coding RNA, 440 nt
Organism: Passer domesticus (house sparrow)
Lineage: Eukaryota; Metazoa; Chordata; Aves; Passeriformes; Passeridae
Exons: 2
Source: RefSeq, a predicted model, not a curated record
UUUAGGACAGAGAUGGAAUUGGGUAAAGGAAAAAGUUGUGCCUGUUUUGGCUCCUCUACACCCUUGUGGCUGGAAUUUGGGAGCUGUGCAUCCCUGCUCCUGUGGCAGGAACAGCUCCUUGUCCUUUCAGCUGCAGCUCCUGAAACAGACAGGUGUCCACAUCCCCAAAAAUGUGAUGAGAAAUGACAUCUUUGUUGACAGUCUCAUCAGAUUAAUUGGACUUCAGGAGUGAGCUAAUUCUCACAUCAAGAGGCUUGAGAACAUACUGUGGGAGCUGUGUGAAGAACCUUGAACUCCUGCUUCUUGUGCUGUCACCAGAUCAUAGCAGCUUUGAUGGACUGGAUUAGGAAAUCAAUAUCCACACAUUGACAUGCUAAUCCCUCCAGGGACACUCAUUAAAUAAAUUCUCAUCAAGGGCCACAACAGUGUGUGUGCAAUCA